RNAcentral lists this ribosomal RNA (496 nucleotides) under uncultured bacterium. Its description in RNAcentral is "partial 16S ribosomal RNA". It matches the Rfam family "Bacterial small subunit ribosomal RNA", at positions 28 to 506 of the family's 1533-position model. The record is from RNAcentral.
GAUGAACGCUGGCGGCGUGCCUAGUACAUGCAAGUCGAGCGAACGGACGAGAAGCUUGCUUCUCUGAUGUUAGCGGCGGACGGGUGAGUAACACGUGGAUAACCUACCUAUAAGACUGGGAUAACUUCGGGAAACCGUAGCUAAUACCGGAUAAUAUUUUGAACCGCAUGGUUCAAAAGUGAAAGACGGUCUUGCUGUCACUUAUAGAUGGAUCCGCGCUGCAUUAGCUAGUUGGUAAGGUAACGGCUUACCAAGGCAACGAUGCAUAGCCGACCUGAGAGGGUGAUCGGCCACACUGGAACUGAGACACGGUCCAGACUCCUACGGGAGGCAGCAGUAGGGAAUCUUCCGCAAUGGGCGAAAGCCUGACGGAGCAACGCCGCGUGAGUGAUGAAGGUCUUCGGAUCGUAAAACUCUGUUAUUAGGGAAGAACAUAUGUGUAAGUAACUGUGCACAUCUUGACGGUACCUAAUCAGAAAGCCACGGCUAACUACGU